Molecule: ribosomal RNA, 434 nt
Filed under: uncultured organism
Description: bacterial SSU rRNA
Rfam family: Bacterial small subunit ribosomal RNA
Source: RNAcentral
GUGCAGCAGGCGAGAAUUUUUCACAAUGGGGGAAACCCUGAUGGAGCGACGCCGCGUGGAGGAUGAAGGCGUUUUCGUCGUAAACUCCUGUCAUGCGAGAACAAGAAAGUGAUAGUAUCGCAAGAGGAAGAGGCGGCUAACUCUGUGCCAGCAGCCGCGGUAAUACAGAGGCCUCAAGCGUUGUUCGGAUUCAUUGGGCGUAAAGGGUGCGUAGGUGGCAUGGUAAGUUGAAGGUGAAAUCUCGGAGCUCAACUCCGAAACUGCCUUCAAUACUGCUGUGCUCGAGGACUGUAGAGGAGAAUGGAAUUCACGGUGUAGCAGUGAAAUGCGUAGAUAUCGUGAGGAAGACCAGUGGCGAAGGCGAUUCUCUGGGCAGUUCCUGACACUGAGGCACGAAGGCUAGGGGAGCAAACGGGAUUAGAUACCCCCGUAGU